Non-coding RNA from Tachysurus fulvidraco (yellow catfish), 838 nucleotides. Lineage: Eukaryota; Metazoa; Chordata; Actinopteri; Siluriformes; Bagridae. The record is from the annotation of a RefSeq genome assembly.
UGCCAGGCAUGUUUUCACAUGUGAGGAAUUUGUUUUAGUGCCAGAUUUAAGCAACAAGGACCAAGAGCUUUAACUUCUGCUCCAACACACACCAUGAUCUCUACAUCCCUACUGCUGCUGCUGCUGGCAGCCGUACACUGUGUUCACAGUGUUGAGCUGAUCCAGACCGGAUCCACAGUAUUAACUAUUGGUCAGUCACUGACUCUGACCUGUAAAGUGUCUGGAUAUUCAUUAACUGAUAACAGCUACUGUAUACACUGGAUACGACAACCUGCAGGAAAAACUCUGGAAUGGAUUGGAUGUAUAUGUGGUAAUGGUAACACUUACUACAGUGAGAAACUGAAAAGCAGGUUUCAGAUUUCCAGAGACACGUCCAGCAGCACAGUGACAUUAACAGGACAGAACAUGCAGACUGAAGACACAGCUGAGUAUUACUGCGCUCUUGAACUACAAUGUGUUCUGUGCUACUGAGCUCAUCCAGCCAGACUCACUGCUUAUAAAGCCAGGAGAGACUUUAACCAUCACCUGUAAAGUGUCUGGAGCUUCUAUCACUGAUAGCAGCAGCCACCAUGGAACAGCUUGGAUUCGACAACCUGCAGGAAAAGCUUUAGAAUGGAUCAACAACAUUUAUUAUAGUGGGAGUAUUGAUAAGAAAGAUUCACUUAAAGACAAGUUUGUGGUCUCUCGAGACACUUCCAGUAACUCUGUGACCUUACGGGGACAGAACAUGCAGACUGAAGACACAGCUGUGUAUUACUGCGCUCGUGUAACACACAGUGACACAACAAGCUGCAGUGCUGCACAAAAACCUCAUCACAAUUCACUUCUUUAAUUAAAU